RNAcentral lists this ribosomal RNA (459 nucleotides) under uncultured bacterium. Its description in RNAcentral is "partial 16S ribosomal RNA". It matches the Rfam family "Bacterial small subunit ribosomal RNA", at positions 338 to 795 of the family's 1533-position model. The record is from RNAcentral.
CCUACGGGUGGCAGCAGUGAGGAAUAUUGGUCAAUGGUCGGGAGACUGAACCAGCCAAGCCGCGUGAGGGAGGAAGGUACAGAGUAUCGUAAACCUCUUUUGUCAGGGAACAAAGGCGGGGACGUGUCCCCGGAUGAGUGUACCUGAAGAAAAAGCAUCGGCUAACUCCGUGCCAGCAGCCCGGGUAAUACGGAGGAUGCGAGCGUUAUCCGGUUUUAUUGGGGUUAAGGGGUGCGCAGGCGGUCUGUUAAGUCGGCGGUAAAAGCCCGGGGCUCAACCCCGGCCCGCCGUUGAAACUGGCAGUCUCGAGUUGGAGAGAAGUAGGCGGAAUGCGCGGUGUAGCGGUGAAAUGCAUAGAUAUCGCGCAGAACUCCGAUUGCGAAGGCAGCAUGCCGGCUCCACACUGACGCUGAGGCACGAAAGCGUGGGUAUCGAACAGGAUUAGAUACCCCUGUAGUC